GAUCUAGCGGUUAGGAUUCCUGGUUUUCAGCCAGGAAGUCCGGGUCCGACUCCCGG
Molecule: transfer RNA, 56 nt
Filed under: Cuculus canorus (common cuckoo)
Lineage: Eukaryota; Metazoa; Chordata; Aves; Cuculiformes; Cuculidae
Rfam family: tRNA
About the family: Transfer RNA (tRNA) molecules are approximately 80 nucleotides in length.
Source: Rfam by way of RNAcentral